AUUGAACGCUGGCGGCAGGCCUAACACAUGCAAGUCGAGCGAGCGGCGGACGGGUGAGUAAUGUAUGGGGACUGCCCGAUAGAGGGGGAUAAAUACUGGAAACGGUAGCUAAUACCGCAUACUAUCGGAUAACCCAUAGGGGAGUAGCUAGUAGGUGAGGGAAGGGCUCACCUAGGCGACGAUCCCUAGCGGGUCUGAGAGGAUGAUCAGCAACACUGGGACUGAGACACGGACCAGACUCCUACGGAGGCAGCAGUGGGGAAUAUGGCACAAGGGGCGCAAGCCUGAUGCAGCAAUGCCGCGUGUAUGAAGAAGGCCCUAGGGUUGUAAAGUACUUUCAGUCGGGAGGCGUUACCGACAGAAGAAGCACCGGCUAACUCCGUGCCAGCAGCCGCGGUAAUAC
RNAcentral lists this ribosomal RNA (403 nucleotides) under uncultured bacterium. RNAcentral's name for it is "partial 16S ribosomal RNA". It matches the Rfam family "Bacterial small subunit ribosomal RNA", at positions 29 to 526 of the family's 1533-position model. The record is from RNAcentral.